AGGCACCAGCGAGAUUCGAACUCGCGAUCGCCUGUUUACUAGACAGGCGCUUUAACCAACUAAGCCACGGCGCC
This 74-nucleotide transfer RNA is filed under the name Araneus ventricosus. Its description in RNAcentral is "tRNA-Thr". Lineage: Eukaryota; Metazoa; Arthropoda; Arachnida; Araneae; Araneidae. The record is from RNAcentral.